Molecule: ribosomal RNA, 253 nt
Filed under: uncultured bacterium
Lineage: Bacteria
Description: partial 16S ribosomal RNA
Rfam family: Bacterial small subunit ribosomal RNA
Source: RNAcentral
UACAGAGGUCUCAAGCGUUGUUCGGAUUCAUUGGGCGUAAAGGGUGCGUAGGCGGCGCGGUAAGUCGGGUGUGAAACCUCGGAGCUUAACUCCGAAACUGCAUUCGAUACUGCCGUGCUUGAGGACUGGAGAGGAGACUGGAAUUUACGGUGUAGCGGUGAAAUGCGUAGAUAUCGUAAGGAAGACCGGUGGCGAAAGCGGCUCACUGGACCGUUACUGACGCUGAGGUGCGAAAGCUAGGGGAGCAAACGGG